CACGUAGUUAGCCGGUGCUUCUUCUGCAGGUACCGUCACUUGCGCUUCUUCCCUGCUGAAAGAGGUUUACAACCCGAAGGCCGUCAUCCCUCACGCGGCGUCGCUGCAUCAGGCUUGCGCCCAUUGUGCAAUAUUCCCCACUGCUGCCUCCCGUAGGAGUCUGGGCCGUGUCUCAGUCCCAGUGUGGCCGGUCGCCCUCUCAGGCCGGCUACCCGUCGUCGCCUUGGUAGGCCAUCACCCCACCAACAAGCUGAUAGGCCGCGGGCUCAUCCUGCACCGCCGGAGCUUUCCACACGGAGACCAUGCGAUCCCGUGUCAUAUCCGGUAUUAGACCCCGUUUCCAGGGCUUGUCCCAGAGUGCAGGGCAGAUUGCCCACGUGUUACUCACCCGUUCGCCACUAAUCCCCCACCGAAGCGGGUUCAUCGUUCGACUUGCAUGUGUUAAGCACGCCGCCAGCGUUCGUCCUCGAGCCAGGACUCAAACUCUCUGACGACUACGG
This 500-nucleotide ribosomal RNA is filed under the name uncultured Streptomycetaceae bacterium. RNAcentral describes it as "partial 16S ribosomal RNA". Lineage: Bacteria; Bacillati; Actinomycetota; Actinomycetes; Kitasatosporales; Streptomycetaceae. The record is from RNAcentral.